AUAGUUGAAAGAGUUAUAAUUCAUCCUUCAUUAUAGAUCCAAAAAUACCAUAAAAUCUCUAAAAAAAAACUAAAAGUAGUUUCAUAUGACACUUUAAAAACAAAAUACAUAACAAAAAUCCUAAAUGUUGCUAGCUCUAGAUAAUCCUCUUGUACACAAAGGUGAAUCAGACAUACUUGCAUCAUCAUUUGCCUGAAAUAAUAAACAUUGAUAAUUAACACGUCAUUAUAUACACUUGGUUCAUAUAUAUUUUAUGAUUAUGAUUAUGAUUAUUCCCCAGGCUUUUCCAAAUCAAAUUACUAUAUUUACCACAAAUCAACAGCAAGAUAGGACCACUAUAACACAUGUUUGGUAAUCAUGUCUACACCCUCAACAUCUUUAUAAUCAGAUCCUAGAAAUGAAGAAUAAGAAAACUAAACAAAUAAGAGCAUCAAAACAUGUCUCUUAUGAAAUGGAAGAAUGUGACUACCUCCCCAACUCGUAUGGUGAUAACAUGAGGUGAAAAAGCUUGUCCUGCAGAAUUGUUCAUCCAUUCACCUAGAAAGAGAGAAACAAAAAAGCUAGGAGUACAUGCACUUCAUUAUAUUGGUUGUUACUACUGUGAGUUACUAUCAAAACAAUAAAAAAUGUAAUUGCACCAUAAAGGGAAGGGAAAAUGUGAAAAUCUAUCUAAUUUUGCAAGGUUUCUAAACCAGUUUUUUGGGUGAAUUUAAACAAUAACAAGUAACAUAAAACACAACAAUACCAAAUAACCAUAUAAUAUAGGCAUUUAACAAAUUUGGCUCCCCCAAUUUCUCAACAACAAUUCUAACUCCUUAAGUCCUAACUUAUUCAUCUUCACUACAGUGACCCCGGAUCCAUAAUAUAAUAGAUAAACACAAUGGAGUAACCAACAACAAAUGAUAAUUCUCAAGGAGAAAUAUAUAUAUAUAUAUACAUAGAGAGGUUGGUUGUUGCUUCCUUCCACUUCCAGGAGUGGUUGUUGAAGCAGGGGUGGACUUAACAUUGGCAGACAUUGGAGAGAGUCUCAAGGAAACGGGACUAUCAUUGGGACCUUAUUUUCAUGGCCUCCCUCUUCUCUUCUUCACAAACUCCCCUGAAGAAGGUACCACUCCAGAAGGGGUACCAAUGCUAAGGCCAUGACUAAAAGUAUCAUGUUGAGGAAGCUAUACUGAAAAUGGAGAAUCAGAAGAACCAUCUCUCACAUUCAACAAAUUUCCCUCCCAUCCAUGCAUUUACGAUAAAAAAUUUGAUUUUUGAUAAAUAUAGUAACUUUAUGGCAUCUAUUAAAAAGAGUAAUUUGUCCAAGUCAGUUAAUUAGCCAUAACAAUCAAACAUUCACUAUAAAAAGAGUAACGGUAUUACAGGAAAAUAGAAUGAAAAAUAUGGCCAUAUUCCUAUUUCUCUCUUUCUUUAUUCGGGGUGUUGUCCAUUGCUAAGUAAAAGUAUAGUAGAGUUGAAAACCUCCGUAAGUUAAAUAAAACCCUUCACUAUAUAUCUAGUUAAUUGUCUGGCCCAUAUCAUUUAAUUUAUUUGGGGAGGUUUGAGUAACCUCCACACAAAAAACUCUAAAAAAUGCAAAAUUGUUGUAGUGAAUAAAGAAAGAGAGAAAUUAAGAAACACUGCAAAAAAAUAGUGAAAGCAAAACAAUAUCACAAAACAAAACAAAAAAGAGUAAUACAAGAUAGUGAUUGUGCUAUGAAGAUGCAAGGGUGAGGAGAUGAAUCAAGGUGAAUGAAAUUGUUCUUUCAUAAGGGAGUCGAGAGGGAGGAAAAUGAGUUAUAGGGAGUUAUGAAGGUAGGGGGUGAUAGAGAGCGAG
RNAcentral lists this long non-coding RNA (1819 nucleotides) under Lupinus angustifolius (narrow-leaved blue lupine). RNAcentral's name for it is "long non-coding RNA (LANG_LNC001039)". The record is from RNAcentral. Lineage: Eukaryota; Viridiplantae; Streptophyta; Magnoliopsida; Fabales; Fabaceae.